GACGAACGCUGGCGGCGUGCUUAACACAUGCAAGUCGAACGGUGAAGGGGUCUGCUUUUGUGGGCCCUGGAUGAGUGGCGAACGGGUGAGUAACACGUGAGUAACCUGCCCCCUUCUUCUGGAUAACCGCAUGAAAGUGUGGCUAAUACGGGAUAUUCUGGGUCUGUCGCAUGAUGGGUCUGGGAAAGAUUGCGCCUUUGGGUGUUUUUGGUGGGGGAUGGGCUCGCGGCCUAUCAGCUUGUUGGUGGGGUGAUGGCCUACCAAGGCGGUGACGGGUAGCCGGCCUGAGAGGGUGGACGGUCACACUGGGACUGAGACACGGCCCAGACUCCUACGGGAGGCAGCAGUGGGGAAUAUUGCACAAUGGGCGCAAGCCUGAUGCAGCGACGCCGCGUGAGGGAUGGAGGCCUUCGGGUUGUAAACCUCCUUCGCCAGUGAAGCAGGCCUGCUCCUUGUGGGUGGGUUGACGGUAGCUGGAUAAGAAGCGCCGGCUAACUACGUG
RNAcentral lists this ribosomal RNA (502 nucleotides) under uncultured bacterium. RNAcentral's name for it is "partial 16S ribosomal RNA". It matches the Rfam family "Bacterial small subunit ribosomal RNA", at positions 28 to 507 of the family's 1533-position model. The record is from RNAcentral.